Molecule: ribosomal RNA, 725 nt
Filed under: uncultured organism
Description: bacterial SSU rRNA
Rfam family: Bacterial small subunit ribosomal RNA
Source: RNAcentral
GAUAUUACACAGUACACCAAUUUCGAAGUCAGCUCACUCAACUAAUAUUGACGCUGAGGCACCGAAAGCCUGGCUAGCAUACAGGAUUAGAUACCCUGGUAGUCCACGCUGUAAACUAUGAUCACUCGCUGUUGGCCAUACAUCGUCAGCGGCUGAGCGAAAGCAUUAAGUGAUCCACCUGGGGAGUACGGUCGCAAGAUUGAAACUCAAAGGAAUUGACGGGGGCCCGCACAAGCGGAGGAACAUGUGGUUUAAUUCGAUGAUACGCGAGGAACCUUACCUGGGCUUAAAUGCAGAGCGACGUCCGCCGAAAGGUGGAUUCCUUCGGGCGAUCUGCAAGGCGCUGCAUGGUUGUCGUCAGCUCGUGCCGUGAGGUGUCGGGUUAAGUCCCAUAACGAGCGCAACCCUUAUCGUUAGUUGCCAGCGGGUAAUGCCGGGGACUCUAACGAAACUGCCGGUGCCCCCCGUGAGGAAGGUGGGGAUGACGUCAAAUCAGCACGGCCCUUAUGUCCAGGGCUACACACGUGUUACAAUGGUCGGUACAGAGGGCAGCUACCACGCAAGUGGAUGCUAAUCUCGAAAACCGGUCUCAGUUCGGAUUGAAGUCUGCAACUCGACUUCAUGAAGCUGGAUUCGCUAGUAAUCGCGCAUCACCCAUGGCGCGCUGAAUACGUUCCCGGGCCUUGUACACACCGCCCGUCAAGCCAUGGAAGCUUGGGGUACCU